GCCCACAGCAAACUUGUUAAAAGUUAUUCAAAUAAUUAUUUCAUUUUAACUUUGACAGGUGCAAAAAAAAGUAUAAAAAACAACAAAUUGAUUUCAACGUGAAGUAAAUAAAUAUCUCGAAAUUAUCAUAAUAUAAAAAUGUAUCUCAAGAGUCUAAUGAAAAUAUUCGCUGCGUGUGAGAAAGUUACUUCUAGGAAACGGAAAAGAAUACGUGCUAAUGCUAAUGUCGAUAAAAAUUG
This is a long non-coding RNA of Drosophila sulfurigaster albostrigata, 239 nucleotides long. RefSeq lists it as uncharacterized. The record is from RefSeq and is a predicted model, not a curated record. The transcript has 2 exons. Lineage: Eukaryota; Metazoa; Arthropoda; Insecta; Diptera; Drosophilidae.